UAAUCAGUACUACACCUCACAGCAAGGCAGUGAGCAGUCAAGCAGGAAGGGGCACCACCAAAACCAGUUAUUUACAUAAAACCAGCUUCAAAUAACUAUCCAUUGUCAAACCCAGCAGAAAACAACAAUGAACCAUUACAGGGAGCUGUACUCCAUCUUUGGCAGACGUGACCCCAUCUCCACUGCUAAGAGCCCCUUGGAUACUUCGGGAAGGCUGGAGUCACUGGCCACCAGAGUGAACCCAGAGGAUGACAUGCUGGACGAGGAAGUGGAGGCAGAGGAGGAUAGGGGACAGGCAAUAGGGUGAUCUGGUGGUGUAGUGAGCCAGGAUCUCUUUUUGACUCCUGGACAAUCUAGCCAUUCCCAGCAGUCCAGCACUGGCAAGCCUGAUGCAGGGGAGGGAGCCUCUGCAGCUGCAGAUGUGUCUUUGACUCUCCCACACAGCAGCAGAGCGCUUCACCCAGCUAAAGAAAAGAAACUGGAGAAGUAAGGAAGAAAUGUUUAAGGAGGUGCUGCAGGCACUAGCAAUCUGGUGCUUCAAAUUGUGAGCAGAGAGCACGGAGGGAGGCAAUCAGUGGCAGAUUGCGGAGGGAUAGUCAGGAUAGGAAACAGGCAGGAAUAGAUGAUAACACUGCUCAGGGAGCAGACAGACAUGUUGCGGUUCCUGAUUGAACUUCAGUCUGAACACAUCCGUGCCUGCCUUCCUCUGCAGCCCAUACAGAACUGCCUUCCUGCACCUUCCCACAACAGCCCCCUCCCCCAUUCCUCCUUUCCUCUGAGGCCUCAGCAGCACGACAGCUGGACAUACAUCCAGCUCUGAGAACCUCACUGGCAAAUAUGCUUGGGAAUUUCCUGUU
Long non-coding RNA from Trachemys scripta elegans, 857 nucleotides. RefSeq lists it as uncharacterized. The transcript is spliced from 3 exons. NCBI's taxonomy places the organism in Eukaryota, Metazoa, Chordata, Testudines, Emydidae. The record is from RefSeq and is a predicted model, not a curated record.